GAUGGUAAUCUCCACCUCUCUCUACCCGCGUCUACGGUAACCUCUGUAUGGUGUGUCCUAUUUUUACUCCCCACGUAGCAUCUAACCUUCAUAUAACCUUCAUAUAGCCUUCCUUUUUAGCAGAUCUGAUAUGUACAUUCAUACAGUGAUACAGACGAGCAUUUUUCUAUAGCAAUCUCAAACCUUCGUUCAAGCAAUAUUUAAUCGCAAUCUGAUUUGCCUUCAAAAUUCUAGCCCUUUUCUCCAUUCAUCAAAUAUAUGGUUGAUCUCAACACAACAACCACAAAUGGCGUUUUCCUGCAGCGGCUUAACCCUCAAGCUUCGUGUUCUAGAGCGACCAUAUCUUAGAAGGAUUGGUUGAGGAAGGUUUCACACUAAAUCAUUCCCCUCCCCCAUCGGUGGGUGGUUAAAUCGGCGGAGUCGAUGUUUAUUCUUCAUAAGUUCCAGUCCCUAGGGUUUGCUUCUCGACGCCUGACCUCUUAUCUUCGAUUCACCGCCCUCCGCCUCUACUUGGAUCGUACUCAACCUUCAACUCCUAAAAAUCAAGGUUUAAGGGGCUGCCAAUGAGGGUGGUAGAGGUCUUUUAUUAUUACACAAAGCAAUUCCAUUUAUCUCCUUCAAUUCGGUCAAAAUUGGUUCUCGCGAUUUGAUAUGGCAUUUUAUUUCGGCAUUGCAUUUUUUGAUGAGAACUGUAAUGAGCGCAUUCAAAGGCUCGCUAGCUAGAACGGAGCACAUCAUUAGGAGGUUUCUCUGGUUAGAGUUGUACACAUCCGUGAAGCCACAUUGACAAAGCGAUUGAUUAUGUUUGAAAACACAAAAGUUUUGUUUUUUCUCUUUCGGGUUUCAUUGCUUCGAUACCUCAGGAGGUGUUUGGUCAUGCUAACUGCUACAACCACUUUUACAUCUUGGGUAAAAGGACAGUUGGGUAACGGGUCAAACGGGUAAUUUUCAGUGUAUGUUGUAUUAGUCAAGUUGAGAUAGGAAAAUGGCCGGGUGGAUAACGGGUCAAAUGGGUAAUUUUCAGUGUAUGUUGUAUUAAUCAAAUAGAGAUCGGAAGGGUAAUUUUCAAUGUGUGUUAUAUUUGUCAAGUAGAGAUAGGAAACUGGUCCAGCUGGCUAGCUGGCUAACUGAUCUGUUUGGCUCACCGCUCACUUUUCAUCUCCUUACUGCAUUGAGUGAGGUCGUGAUGCUUCCAAAGGAUAUGCUAUUAAACAGUACCAUCUAAAAAGCGGGUUUUAGCUUUUUUAUAAAACCAAAACUAUUUUUUAUAGAUGGUUAUUUUUAUUGGACAUGCGAGCCAAUUGAGAAGUUAAGGCAAUAUAUGUUAUAUGUUAUAUUCAGGUA
Long non-coding RNA from Helianthus annuus (common sunflower), 1344 nucleotides. RefSeq lists it as uncharacterized. The transcript is spliced from 7 exons. The record is from RefSeq and is a predicted model, not a curated record. Lineage: Eukaryota; Viridiplantae; Streptophyta; Magnoliopsida; Asterales; Asteraceae.